RNAcentral lists this unclassified non-coding RNA (370 nucleotides) under soil metagenome. RNAcentral describes it as "partial contains 5.8S ribosomal RNA, internal transcribed spacer 2, and large subunit ribosomal RNA". The stretch from base 1 to 120 matches the Rfam family "5.8S ribosomal RNA", at positions 35 to 154 of the family's 154-position model. The record is from RNAcentral.
GAUGAAGAACGUAGCGAAAUGCGAUAACUAAUGUGAAUUGCAGAAUUCAGUGAAUCAUCGAGUCUUUGAACGCACAUUGCGCCCCCUGGUAUUCCGGGGGGCAUGCCUGUCCGAGCGUCAUUUCUACCCUCGAGCGAGUCCAGCAUCUAGGUGCUGGGCCUCGCCCGGCGUUGGAGCACUACGGGAAGCCCUGUGCUGUCCCCCGUAGGCCCCGAAAUGAAGUGGCGGUCCUGCCGCGGCGCCCCCUGCGUAGUAUAACAGCUCGCUUCGGGACCCGGUGGAGGCCUGCCGUCAAACCUAUACUCUCUAAGUUUGACCUCGGAUCAGGUAGGGUUACCCGCUGAACUUAAGCAUAUCAAUAAGCGGAGGA